This 503-nucleotide ribosomal RNA is filed under the name uncultured bacterium. Its description in RNAcentral is "bacterial SSU rRNA". It matches the Rfam family "Bacterial small subunit ribosomal RNA", at positions 24 to 518 of the family's 1533-position model. The record is from RNAcentral.
UCAGGAUGAACGCUAGCUACAGGCUUAACACAUGCAAGUCGAGGGGCAGCAUUGGAGUAGCAAUACUCAGAUGGCGACCGGCGCACGGGUGAGUAACACGUAUCCAACCUGCCGCUUACUCGGGGAUAGCCUUUCGAAAGAAAGAUUAAUACCCGAUGGUAUAAAGAGUUCGCAUGUUCUCUUUAUUAAAGAAUUUCGGUAAGCGAUGGGGAUGCGUUCCAUUAGAUAGUUGGCGGGGUAACGGCCCACCAAGUCUACGAUGGAUAGGGGUUCUGAGAGGAAGGUCCCCCACAUUGGAACUGAGACACGGUCCAAACUCCUACGGGAGGCAGCAGUGAGGAAUAUUGGUCAAUGGACGAGAGUCUGAACCAGCCAAAAGUAGCGUGAAGGAUGACUGCCCUAUGGGUUGUAAACUUCUUUUAUAAGGGAAUAAAGUGAGGGACGUGUCCCUUUUUGUAUGUACCUUAUGAAUAAGGAUCGGCUAACUCCGUGCCAGCCGCCGC